This 325-nucleotide ribosomal RNA is filed under the name uncultured eukaryote. RNAcentral describes it as "partial 18S ribosomal RNA". It matches the Rfam family "Eukaryotic small subunit ribosomal RNA", at positions 1470 to 1796 of the family's 1831-position model. The record is from RNAcentral.
CCCUUAGAUGUCCUGGGCCGCACGCGCGCUACACUGAUGCAUUCAACGAGUUUUACCUUGGCCGAGAGGCCUGGGCAAUCUUUUAAACCUGCAUCGUGAUAGGGAUAGAUUAUUGCAAUUAUUAAUCUUGAACGAGGAAUUCCUAGUAAACGCAGAUCAUCAAUCCGCAUUGAUUACGUCCCUGCCCUUUGUACACACCGCCCGUCGCACCUACCGAUUGAAUGGUCCGGUGAAGCCUCGGGAUUGUGGCCAGUUCACUUUAUUGGGAGUUGGCUGCGAGAACUUGUCUAAACCUUAUCAUUUAGAGGAAGGUGAAGUCGUAACA